Molecule: ribosomal RNA, 301 nt
Filed under: uncultured bacterium
Lineage: Bacteria
Description: partial 16S ribosomal RNA
Rfam family: Bacterial small subunit ribosomal RNA
Source: RNAcentral
CAGUCGCCGCGGGAAUACGAAGGGUGCAAGCGUUACUCGGAAUUACUGGGCGUAAAGCGUGCGUAGGUGGUGGUUUAAGUCCGUUGUGAAAGCCCUGGGCUCAACCUGGGAAUUGCAGUGGAUACUGGGUCACUAGAGUGUGGUAGAGGAUAGUGGAAUUUCCGGUGUAGCAGUGAAAUGCGUAGAGAUCGGAAGGAACAUCUGUGGCGAAGGCGACUAUCUGGGCCAACACUGACACUGAGGCACGAAAGCGUGGGGAGCAAACAGGAUUAGAUACCCGGUAGUCCCUGUCUCUUAUACA